Globicephala melas (long-finned pilot whale) is the source of this 518-nucleotide long non-coding RNA. RefSeq lists it as uncharacterized. The record is from RefSeq and is a predicted model, not a curated record. Lineage: Eukaryota; Metazoa; Chordata; Mammalia; Artiodactyla; Delphinidae.
GGGAAGUGGGUGGGUCAGGGGCUGCGGGCGUCCCAGGUCUGCACUGCUCCCAGCCCGCCUCCUCCCUCUGCAGGCUCUCACCGCAUCACCGUCUCUAAUCCUCAACCUGGCCAGGACUCGAGGCUGCGUCACUGCAGAGAGUUGCAGAAGUGGGGCCCGUCCUGCGGACCAGGGAGGUAGUUUACCUCAACUCCCCCCACUGCCCCCUGAUCCACUGUUCUCAGGCAGUCCUCAAGCCCCCGUGGGACCCAGGAGGGUAGAGAAAAGACAUCGGGGCUUCCUACUCUGCUCUGCCCCGGAUUCUGGUGUCUCCCCAGGCAGAAGCAGUGAAUCCUGAGAGAGCCGGACACUAACUUUUUUCUGAAAAAAAUCACGCGCUUAAAAAAAAAAGGGGGGCUUCCCUGGUGGCGCAGUGGUUGAGAGUCCGCCUGCCGAUGCAGGGGACACGGGUUCGUGCCCCGGUCAGGGAAGAUCCCACAUGCCGCGGAGCGGCUACGCCCGUGAGCCAUGGCGGCUGA